This is a non-coding RNA of Amborella trichopoda, 1993 nucleotides long. The record is from RefSeq and is a predicted model, not a curated record. Lineage: Eukaryota; Viridiplantae; Streptophyta; Magnoliopsida; Amborellales; Amborellaceae.
UCAAUUCGGUUCAAACUGGUUUUGACCAAUCUACCCAUUCAAUGAUUGGGGUGGGCCAGUUAUAAUUCUGGUUCUUGCUCCAUCCUGUUGGACUAGAUGACCACACUUGUCUCAAUAACAUCGAUACAGUCACAUAUUUGCGCUUGACUCCCAAAUUUAGUUCGUGGCUUUUGCUCCUCUCGUCGAUGCAAAUACAUGACACCAAACUUGGGUUUUUGGAGUACUUUUUCAGUAUGUGUGCUAAACUGCAAAGCUUUUUGCAUAUGUUGGGGUUUUGCAAGCAUCAUUUGUGACACUUCAAAACUUUCAAACCAGUGACGACAUUAGUUUUCUUUGGCUUACACAACUUAUAUAAAUAAAUGGGGUUGGGGCUAUGAUUCAUACUAGUUGAGGUAAAGACUUUUGAGUUUUAGAGGUUGUGGGUGGAUUGAGUCAUGAUCCCUUCAACUUACAAAUGCAACGGUAGGAUCCUACUAGAUUCUUCGACUAGCAUGUUUGCUAUAUGGAUGAUAUAGGAUUUUGUGAAGUUUGGCAUCAAGAUUUUUCUUUGAUAAAAUUAGAAUUCUUAUGGAUGAAGGUUUGGUUUCUAGAUGAUAUAUAUUCAGUAGAAGUUGAUACAUUUAGCCUUGAUUGGACAAGUUUGUCCAUUUUAUAAAACAGGUAUUCAAUUCUUUCAUUUAAAGUUUGUGAUCGGGAUUAGGGUCAUUGAUUACUAGAUUCUUUUUUUUUAUGGCUGCAUAGUAGCUUUUCAUCAGGUUAGAUGGAAAGGAUUAUUCAUUGUGGGCCAGUGAUUUAAAAUGUUUUCUCUAGGAGUGAAUGUUUGUGAUAGGGAUUAGAGUGAAUGUUUGUGAAGGGGAUUAGGACCAUUGUUUACUUGUUUUUUUUUUUAAUGGCUGCAAAGCAUGGAGAUACUACCUCAAUUAUUUUCAUCAGGCUAGAUGGAAAGAAUUAUUCAUUAUGGGCCAAUGAUUUAAAUUCUUUCUCUAUGAUUGAAAGUAAUGGGGUCACCAUGAUGGAGCAAUCCCUAUUCGCACAUAGUAAAAAUUUCAGAACAGUGAGAAGUGGUGGACAUUUGCAUUAUGAUGUGGAUUUAUAUUUAGCUGACAUUGAUGUUAGAUGGUGAAACUUCGUAAAGAACCAGAGCAUGUUCAGGGAAACUAUGAUGCACUCUCCAUCAUCUGGAAUGAGUUAUCUAUGAUUGAGUCUUGUGGUUCCUGCCAACACACUUGAUGCUGUUAGAAGACAAAACCAGGAAACUAUGUAUCUACAUUUCUGUUGUGUGCAUUUGCGUACAUCCUACCAUCGUCGCAAUUCAUGGUGAAUGAGUGCUUAUUGGUUUCACAUAGAAUAGGUGAAAAGAUUUCCUUCCAAGGAGGAAUAGAUCAAGAAAAAAGUUCUUUCCCUUAUAUUCCAGGAUAAUUUUUUGAAGAUAUUGAUCAGGAAAGGAUUGUGUGAAGAAAAUCCAUAUAGAAAAUGCAUUCCAAGAAGUGGAGAGGGCAGCAAAAGACUUAUCUUUCAUUGCUCUAAAAUACUUCUCUAUUGUAUUGAUAAUUGGUCAUCUCUACAUCCCAUCUUUGGAGUAACAGCAUAUCGUGUUUCAUUUCCAAGUUGCUGAAUACUGAUUUCCAAUAGUUCAAAGAGUAAAAGUUGUCAUGCCUCCACAUGGUGGUCUUGGGAGAGGGGGGAGGUGAUAUAACCUAUGCCAGAGAGCAAGAAGCUGUUUGGUUUAAAGGAUAGCAUUUCAUAUCAUCUGUUUGAGGUGGUACUUCUGGUGAAGAACAAAUUAAGAGACUAAAACCUGCCACUGAUUCUAAAGGGAAAAUUGUUGGAGAUGGAUGGUUUACAACUUAAAGGGUGGAAGUAGCACUGAAUAGGUGAUCAUUGGACAAAUUUGUAAAGAAGAUCUUCAUGUGUUUUGAAUGAAACUUGAUGUCUUCUAAAUAUGUAACCCCAUGUAGUUAUUAGAAACUAUCUUCAUUUGAAUUUUGUUUGA